Molecule: long non-coding RNA, 2698 nt
Organism: Pyrgilauda ruficollis (rufous-necked snowfinch)
Lineage: Eukaryota; Metazoa; Chordata; Aves; Passeriformes; Passeridae
Exons: 3
Source: RefSeq, a predicted model, not a curated record
GGGGGCAUUUAAACGCCGAGCGCUCCGACCGCGCGGCACCGCGGGCCAGGGAGGCGGUGGCGGUGGCCCCCAGGGGGUGGGGGCGGGCCGGGCCGGGCCGUACACACACACCCCCACCGCGACAGCCCCCUGGGUCUCGUCCGCCAGCUGAGAGAGGAAGGCAGGAGAGACCUGGAGGCUGCGCCCGGCCCGCGGAGCCCACCGGCCGUCCCCUGCAGGGUGAGUGCUGCUGCCAGGGCGCCCCAGCGUCACCCUGCUGUCGGCGCUGUCAAGCUUGCACCGGGCACCUCUGCUGCGCACCAAGGGCAGCGGCGCGGGGUGGGGGUGGCUAGGGGACGCGACUAGAUCCACGGCAUGGGGCGAGGGAUGGGGCGGAGAGAGGCAGAGACAGUGCUGAGAACAUCAGCCCUUGGGACGAGAAUGAGAAUGGAACCGUGGAUGUGGCUGGGGACUUCUACCGGGCUGGGAAUUAAGAUAAGGACAGGAAUGAGGGUGAGGAUAAGGUAGAGAAUAGGCAUGGGACGGAGGAUACGGAUGUGGAUGGGAUGCGGGUGGAGGUGGAGACCGUAACAGUGCCGGUGCCGAGGGGUCUCGCCGGUCCAGCCCCGCCGCAGUCCCAGCGCGACGCCACGCCAAGAGUUAAAGGGGCUUGUCCAGCCGCAUCACCAGGCGGCCGCGGACAUUAGCAUGGAAAUGAGGCGCUUUUGGGACUGACGGCCAUUGUGCUCUCCCAGGCUCACCGGCCACCUUCUGGCCCUCAUCCCUGCUCCCCCCGCACCUCCGCCGGGCUCACCCUCGCCAGCCUAGGGUUGGGGUAGGGAAGGAGGAGCCGGGGGCAGGAGGACGAAUGAUUGGACGGGGGCCCGGGGGCUCCGCAGCCCAUCUGCUGUGCUCCCGCAUCGCCGCUGCCGCCCGUCCGCCUUGGGACAGGGUGGGGGGACGGCUGUCCGGGGUGUCGCGGGUCGCAGCCCGAGGAGGCGACCCGGGACAGGGGCAGAGGAGAGGAGGAAGGCGCAGGGCCCACAGCCCGGCCCCUUUGUCCCUGCGCUCCACCACCCGGGUCGGCAGUAGGGAGAGGCGGCAGACGGCCAGUGGCAGAGGCGGCCCCAGGACCCUCGGGAACCGCGCUGAGCAUCGGCUCCAACCCACCCCUCCCCAGCACCGUGGGGAGGUGGGUCAAGAGAUGGGUCCGUGGCCAGAGAAGGAGGGAUGGUGGUGAGAUAUGGGUUACGACCUCAUGUGCGGUUUACGUAUGCGGAAAGGGAAAGGGGCGGUAAAGGCCGGGCAUCCGUCUGUCCCAGCGCACCCAGCCGUCUGCAGGCAGAAAGGACGGGACCAAAAGUCUUCAAAAGCAGUUCUGCGAAGCGUCAGCCUCGGAGAAAGAUGGAUGGAACGUCAUGUCCCCUGACACUAGCCCCAGGAGGGGCUACCCCCUCUAUUUCUGCAGUCAGCAUCCGGAAAUCUGGGCACAAAAGAAACCCCGACCCUUACAUGAGCGUUGCGGUCCAAUUUAACCCAGUGGCAGAGGAGUGAAAAUGCCGGUGAGGCUGCUCGCUUUCCGCAGGGACAUGGCUGGAGCAGAGGGAAGGAGGAGAACCGAGGCCGAGGUUUCACCGCGCCCGCAGCUCAGCCAAGCUGUUGUUUUAAAAGAGCAAUAAAAGUGAAUUAUGACUAAACGCCUUCUCACUUAAUGGUUUUAGACGGGGAUCCCCAGCCUCGGCAAAUACGUAAGAGGAUUUUUAUUUGUGAAUGUGUUCCUGCAAUUGAUCUCUUUGAUGACAUUCUCAUUCAUAGAAAGAGUUUGAUUUAUGACUUUCGGAAGAAUUGCGUUCAGCCCUUCCAGCUAUAACCCACGCAUCCCAGCUCCACAGCGUGCUACGGGGCUGGGAGACGACACUGCUCGCACGGACGGACAGCGGAGCCCCGUUCUCAGCCCCCCAGCCAAGCCCCACUCGCUUGUGUAAUGCAGACACCCGCACUCACUCACUCCAGGAGCCGCGAACGUCCCCGCCCGGGAUGCCCCGGUCCCGGAGCCGCAGAGCCCCGCUGGCAUCUGUUGCUCCCUUUUAGCCCGAAGGACAGGGCUCACCCUCCGCUUUGGGGCUCGGCAACGCCGGGUGGCAGGCAAUUCGGUGGAGAUUCCUGAAAGCCCGUCUAUGCCGCCUCCAGCAGAAGAGCGGGGAGCCCGAGGAAAUUGUAACUUUAAAGUCAGUUUCCCCUUUUCCUUAUCUGUCUUUCACCUCUCAAGAAGGCUUACACAGAAAAAUAUGUUCGGGUCUGCCCCCGCACCGCCCCCGAGAAGGAUGGAGAGGCCAGUUCCUCCCUAAAUAUUUUUUUUCUUCCCCCUGCAUUUCUGCAGCCCUUUUGAUUUUACAGGCACUAACUUCUCUAUUUCCUCUCCUCCUAGGGCUGAUUUCUUGGAUUACUCAGCACGUGAGAAGUAACCAACUACAUUCUUUGCUGGUUUCUGCAGGAGACGCUUAUCCUACUGUGUCUCUCUUACAUUCUGCCUGUAACAGAGAAAGUCUUCGUUCAUGCCUUUGUUACAGCUGAGGAUUUCCAAGCUUGUAUCCUCACAGAGAUAAGAUGCCACAUUUAUACAUUAAAAGGAACAAAUCUCCAUCAAACCUGUGAACGGUUGUAAUUUCUUUAGUUUGUUUUUCCUUCCCUUAUGAGAAUCCUUAUAAUAAAGAAAAUG